This 509-nucleotide ribosomal RNA is filed under the name Samuelsonia sp. JGZ-72. RNAcentral's name for it is "partial 12S ribosomal RNA". The record is from RNAcentral. Lineage: Eukaryota; Metazoa; Arthropoda; Insecta; Coleoptera; Chrysomelidae.
ACAUAUUUUAGAGCCUAAUUCAUUUUAAUUAAUAAUCAAAAUUACAUUCAAAUCCAAAUUUAAAAUUUUAAUGAUAAAAUCCCUCCUAAAAUAAAUUUAUUGUAAUCCAUCUCUACUUAAAUAAGCUGCACCUUGAUCUGAUUUUUAAUAUAAUUAUAUAUAAAAAUUAUAUAUUUUAGAAAAUAAUUGACAACGACGAUAUACAAACAAAAUUUAAGUUUUAUUAAUCGUGGAUUAUCGAUUACAGGACAGAUUCCCCUGAUUGGAAUAAAAAACCGCCAAAUUUUUUGAAUUUAAAGAACAUAACUCAUAUUUAUCAGGUCUAUGGUUCUACAUCUAGAAUAAUGGGGUAUCUAAUCCCAGUUUAUUAUCCAGAUUUCUUAACUUCAUAAUCAAAGCCAUAGUAUAAAAAUAAAGAUUUCACCCAAUAUUUUAAUAUAUUUUUAAUUUAUUGCUAUUAAUUAAGUAUAAAACCGAAAAAAAAUAGUAGCAUUAUUUGUCUAACCGCA